GGAUAAUCUGCCCUCAGGACAGGGAUAACCCCGGGAAACUGGGGAUAAUACCUGAUAGGUGAGAUGGUCUGGAACGAUAUCUCGCCCAAAGCUCCGGCGCCUGAGGAUGAGUCUGCGGCCGAUUAGGUUGUUGGCGGUGUAACGGACCACCAAGCCGAAGAUCGGUACGGGCGUUGAGAGACGGAGCCCGGAGAUGGGGGCUGAGAUACGGCCCCAGGCCCUACGGGGCGCAGCAGGUGCGAAAACUCCGCAAUUCACGAAAGUGUGACGGGGGAACUCCAAGUGCUGCAGCGUUAGCUGUAGCUUUUGUUUAGUGUAAAUAGCUAUUCGAAUAAGGGCUGGGUAAGACCGGUGCCAGCCGCCGCGGUAACACCGGCAGCUCGAGUGGUGACCGCUAUUAUUGGGCCUAAAGCGUUCGUAGCCUGUUUGGUAAGUCUUUGGGUAAAUCCUGACGCUCAACGUUAGGAAUUCUAGAGAUACUGCCAGACUUGGGACCGAGAGAAGUCAGAGGUACUCCUGGGGUAGCGGUGAAAUGCUGUAAUCCUAGGGGGACCACCAGUGGCGAAGGCGUCUGACUAGAGCGGGUCCGACGGUGAGGGACGAAAGCCAGGGGCGCGAACGGGAUUAGAUACCCCGGUAGUCCUGGCCGUAAACGCUGUGGGCUAGGUGUUGCACGCUCUACGGGGCGUGCAGUGCCGAAGAGAAGUUGUUAAGCCUACCGCCUGGGAAGUACCGUCGCAAGUCGGAAACUUAA
RNAcentral lists this ribosomal RNA (754 nucleotides) under uncultured archaeon. RNAcentral describes it as "bacterial SSU rRNA". It matches the Rfam family "Archaeal small subunit ribosomal RNA", at positions 102 to 859 of the family's 1478-position model. The record is from RNAcentral.